Molecule: ribosomal RNA, 564 nt
Filed under: Kribbella sp. 337E05
Lineage: Bacteria; Bacillati; Actinomycetota; Actinomycetes; Propionibacteriales; Kribbellaceae
Description: bacterial SSU rRNA
Rfam family: Bacterial small subunit ribosomal RNA
Source: RNAcentral
GAGCGGCGAACGGGUGAGUAACACGUGAGCAACCUACCCUCAACUUUGGGAUAAGCCUCGGAAACGGGGUCUAAUACCGGAUAUGACCAUAGGCUUCAUGGUUUGUGGUUGAAAGUUCUGGCGGUUGGGGAUGGGCUCGCGGCCUAUCAGCUUGUUGGUGGGGUAAUGGCCUACCAAGGCUUCGACGGGUAGCCGGCCUGAGAGGGCGACCGGCCACACUGGGACUGAGACACGGCCCAGACUCCUACGGGAGGCAGCAGUGGGGAAUAUUGCGCAAUGGACGAAAGUCUGACGCAGCAACGCCGCGUGAGGGAUGACGGCCUUCGGGUUGUAAACCUCUUUCAGCAGGGACGAAGCGAGAGUGACGGUACCUGCAGAAGAAGGACCGGCCAACUACGUGCCAGCAGCCGCGGUAAUACGUAGGGUCCGAGCGUUGUCCGGAAUUAUUGGGCGUAAAGGGCUCGUAGGCGGUUCGUCACGUCGGGAGUGAAAACUCGGAGCUUAACUCCGAGCCUGCUUCCGAUACGGGCAGACUAGAGGUAGGCAGGGGAGAGCGGAACUCCU